This 497-nucleotide ribosomal RNA is filed under the name uncultured bacterium. Its description in RNAcentral is "partial 16S ribosomal RNA". It matches the Rfam family "Bacterial small subunit ribosomal RNA", at positions 28 to 507 of the family's 1533-position model. The record is from RNAcentral.
GACGAACGCUGGCGGCGUGCCUAAUACAUGCAAGUUGAGCGCUGAAGGUUGGUACUUGUACCAACUGGAUGAGCAGCGAACGGGUGAGUAACGCGUGGGGAAUCUGCCUUUGAGCGGGGGACAACAUUUGGAAACGAAUGCUAAUACCGCAUAAAAACUUUAAACACAAGUUUUAAGUUUGAAAGAUGCAAUUGCAUCACUCAAAGAUGAUCCCGCGUUGUAUUAGCUAGUUGGUGAGGUAAAGGCUCACCAAGGCGAUGAUACAUAGCCGACCUGAGAGGGUGAUCGGCCACAUUGGGACUGAGACACGGCCCAAACUCCAACGGGAGGCAGCAGUAGGGAAUCUUCGGCAAUGGACGAAAGUCUGACCGAGCAACGCCGCGUGAGUGAAGAAGGGUUUCGGAUCGUAAAACUCUGUUGGUAGAGAAGAACGGUGGUGAGAGUGGAAAGCUCAUCAAGUUACGGUAACUACCCAGAAAGGGACGGCUAACUACGUG